Molecule: ribosomal RNA, 497 nt
Filed under: uncultured bacterium
Lineage: Bacteria
Description: partial 16S ribosomal RNA
Rfam family: Bacterial small subunit ribosomal RNA
Source: RNAcentral
GAUGAACGCUGGCGGCGUGCCUAAUACAUGCAAGUCGAGCGAACGGACGAGAAGCUUGCUUCUCUGAUGUUAGCGGCGGACGGGUGAGUAACACGUGGAUAGCCUACCUAUAAGACUGGGAUAACUUCGGGAAACCGGAGCUAAUACCGGAUAAUAUUUUGAACCGCAUGAUUCAAAAGUGAAAGACGGUCUUGCUGUCACUUAUAGAUGGAUCCGCGCUGCAUUAGCUAGUUGGUAAGGUAACGGCUUACCAAGGCAACGAUGCAUAGCCGACCUGAGAGGGUGAUCGGCCACACUGGAACUGAGACACGGUCCAGACUCCUACGGGAGGCAGCAGUAGGGAAUCUUCCGCAAUGGGCGAAAGCCUGACGGAGCAACGCCGCGUGAGUGAUGAAGGUCUUCGGAUCGUAAAACUCUGUUAUUAGGGAAGAACAUAUGUGUAAGUAACUGUGCACAUCUUGACGGUACCUAAUCAGAAAGCCACGGCUAACUACGUG